This 86-nucleotide microRNA precursor is filed under the name Octodon degus (degu). The record is from RNAcentral. Lineage: Eukaryota; Metazoa; Chordata; Mammalia; Rodentia; Octodontidae.
UUGGUACUUGGAGAGAGGUGGUCCGUGGCGCGUUCGCUUUAUUUAUGGCGCACAUUACACGGUCGACCUCUUUUCAGUAUCUAAUC